UGUCAGUGAUGAAGAAAUCUAAGGCUGGUUUCUCAAAACAUUCGCAGCGGCCGCCUGAUAACUUUCGCCUUAGCCGGGCUUGAGAGUUUCUGUUGCUUCAAUCCUUCCUUGGAUGUGUGAGGCU
Small nucleolar RNA from Salvia miltiorrhiza (redroot sage), 124 nucleotides. RefSeq annotates it as small nucleolar RNA SNORD14. The transcript has a single exon. NCBI's taxonomy places the organism in Eukaryota, Viridiplantae, Streptophyta, Magnoliopsida, Lamiales, Lamiaceae. The record is from RefSeq and is a predicted model, not a curated record.